GUGCCAGAGCCGCGGUAAUACGGGGGGUGCAAGCGUUGUUCGGAAUCAUUGGGCGUAAAGCGCGUGUAGGCGGCUUGACAAGUCAGAUGUGAAAUCCCUGGGCUUAACCCAGGAAGUGCAUUUGAAACUGUCUGGCUCGAGUAAGGGAGAGGAAAGUGGAAUUCCUGGUGUAGAGGUGAAAUUCGUAGAUAUCAGGAGGAACACCGGUGGCGAAGGCGACUUUCUGGCCCUAUACUGACGCUGAGACGCGAAAGCGUGGGUAGCAAACAGG
RNAcentral lists this ribosomal RNA (271 nucleotides) under uncultured bacterium. Its description in RNAcentral is "partial 16S ribosomal RNA". It matches the Rfam family "Bacterial small subunit ribosomal RNA", at positions 505 to 776 of the family's 1533-position model. The record is from RNAcentral.